UCUCUUCCUGUCUUUCUUUUGUCCCUCCCUUUUCAUUCCACUCUUCUUCUCCUUCUUCCUUCUCUUCAUAUAAUCAUUCAGAUUGUCUAUGAAGCUACUCCUCAAAUAAAUACAACUGAUGAUUUUGGUUAUGAUGAUGGUGAGGAUUUAUAUGAAGCAGUAGAAACUGAUCGACUUGAUGUGAGUGAUACCCCUCCAGCAUUACCUGGUCUACCACCAUCAGGUUCUAGACCAACCAUACAGCCAACAACUGAGGAAGAUGAAGAUUCUCAGGAUGUCUAUGAGUAUCUCCCAGAAGAGGAUCAAGAUUGAUUUAUAACUUAUUGAUGGGAUUUCUUUUGUUUGUUUGUAUUAGAUUUUUUUAUUUUCUUAGUAAUUUAUUUAAAAAAGUUUUUGCCUGGAUACUA
This is a long non-coding RNA of Amphimedon queenslandica, 407 nucleotides long. RefSeq lists it as uncharacterized. The record is from RefSeq and is a predicted model, not a curated record. The transcript has 3 exons. Lineage: Eukaryota; Metazoa; Porifera; Demospongiae; Haplosclerida; Niphatidae.